This 1445-nucleotide ribosomal RNA is filed under the name uncultured organism. RNAcentral's name for it is "16S ribosomal RNA". It matches the Rfam family "Bacterial small subunit ribosomal RNA". The record is from RNAcentral.
AACGCUAGCUACAGGCUUAACACAUGCAAGUCGAGGGGCAGCAUGGUCUUAGCUUGCUAAGGCCGAUGGCGACCGGCGCACGGGUGGGUAACACGUAUCCAACCUGCCGUCUACUCUUGGACAGCCUUCUGAAAGGAAGAUUAAUACAAGAUGGCAUCAUGAGUCCGCAUGUUCACAUGAUUAAAGGUAUUCCGGUAGACGAUGGGGAUGCGUUCCAUUAGAUAGUAGGCGGGGUAACGGCCCACCUAGUCUUCGAUGGAUAGGGGUUCUGAGAGGAAGGUCCCCCACAUUGGAACUGAGACACGGUCCAAACUCCUACGGGAGGCAGCAGUGAGGAAUAUUGGUCAAUGGGCGAGAGCCUGAACCAGCCAAGUAGCGUGAAGGAUGACUGCCCUAUGGGUUGUAAACUUCUUUUAUAAAGGAAUAAAGUCGGGUAUGCAUACCCGUUUGCAUGUACUUUAUGAAUAAGGAUCGGCUAACUCCGUGCCAGCAGCCGCGGUAAUACGGAGGAUCCGAGCGUUAUCCGGAUUUAUUGGGUUUAAAGGGAGCGUAGAUGGAUGUUUAAGUCAGUUGUGAAAGUUUGCGGCUCAACCGUAAAAUUGCAGUUGAUACUGGAUAUCUUGAGUGCAGUUGAGGCAGGCGGAAUUCGUGGUGUAGCGGUGAAAUGCUUAGAUAUCACGAAGAACUCCGAUUGCGAAGGCAGCCUGCUAAGCUGCAACUGACAUUGAGGCUCGAAAGUGUGGGUAUCAAACAGGAUUAGAUACCCUGGUAGUCCACACGGUAAACGAUGAAUACUCGCUGUUUGCGAUAUACUGCAAGCGGCCAAGCGAAAGCGUUAAGUAUUCCACCUGGGGAGUACGCCGGCAACGGUGAAACUCAAAGGAAUUGACGGGGGCCCGCACAAGCGGAGGAACAUGUGGUUUAAUUCGAUGAUACGCGAGGAACCUUACCCGGGCUUAAAUUGCAGAUGAAUUACGGUGAAAGCCGUAAGCCGCAAGGCAUCUGUGAAGGUGCUGCAUGGUUGUCGUCAGCUCGUGCCGUGAGGUGUCGGCUUAAGUGCCAUAACGAGCGCAACCCUUGUUGUCAGUUACUAACAGGUUCCGCUGAGGACUCUGACAAGACUGCCAUCGUAAGAUGUGAGGAAGGUGGGGAUGACGUCAAAUCAGCACGGCCCUUACGUCCGGGGCUACACACGUGUUACAAUGGGGGGUACAGAGGGCCGCUACCACGCGAGUGGAUGCCAAUCCCCAAAACCUCUCUCAGUUCGGACUGGAGUCUGCAACCCGACUCCACGAAGCUGGAUUCGCUAGUAAUCGCGCAUCAGCCACGGCGCGGUGAAUACGUUCCCGGGCCUUGUACACACCGCCCGUCAAGCCAUGGGAGCCGGGGGUACCUGAAGUGCGUAACCGCGAGGAGCGCCCUAGGGUAAAACUGGUGACUGGGGC